This 1118-nucleotide long non-coding RNA is filed under the name Homo sapiens (human). RNAcentral describes it as "non-protein coding lnc-SPRY1-11:37". The record is from RNAcentral. Lineage: Eukaryota; Metazoa; Chordata; Mammalia; Primates; Hominidae.
AGCGAUGAGGCUUCCUCUUUGAAGAUCACAGGUGAGAAGAUUAGGUGCUUUCUCAGAAGCCCAGCAACCUGAUGGGAGUGUGGAGUGAGCAAGACCCAAAUCGGAGCUUCAUCCCUGCAUGGUUCAUUUUGCUUAUUUGGCAAACUUGCCCUGCAGUCCAAACAAAAUAAACUUCUGUCUGGUGAAAAGAAUCAUCAACCAAGUAAACACAACUGAUAUUUUUUUUGGGAAAAAGUGCAAUACUUCUGGCAGAAAAUGUCCUGAUUCAUAAAAAGGUCAAACAAUAUCAUGGCAGUCAAAAUCAGAUCAUUUAAAUGAGGAAAAAAUUAGGGAUAUACAUUCAACAAAACAGUCAUAGACCAUGGAAACAGAAAGUCCCUAAAAAUGUUAAUAAUGUUGAUUUUUAUUGUUUUACCCUUUGUUUUCCAUUUUAUGCAACCAAGAUUUUCCCUUGCACCUUAGAAUGCUUUCUUUAAAAUGUCCUUGCUCUCUUAAUUUUCUGAGUUGCUACUUUCUCAUUUUCCUUGCUGAUUAUAAAACAACUGAAGGAUAAGAAACACAUGUUUUUCUAUAACUGUUUUUAAUUAAAUGUUUGGUAAACUGAAAUGAUUGUAAUUACUCUUUUGUUAUCUUCAAGAAUCUACUCAAGCUUCCUCAGUUUCUCAAAUCAUUCUUGGGCAACAAAUGAACAAGAAAGAGGACGUCUUAUUAUCUGGUGUCUGGCUUGCUGAUUUAAUAACCUAGGAGACAGUGUUUGAAGAACACAAACUCUAAAGUCCUUCACUUAAAAAAAAAAAAAAACUUUCCCAAAUUGCUUACCAUUUGGAAAAAUUGCCUUACCUUCUUCAGUCAUCUCUGAUGUUGUCAUCCUCAGAGUAAGAAGUACGCAUUCAUAAGGAACCAUAACGUCCUUCAGGAAAUCCAGUACACCCUACAAUUUUACCUAAAACUUUGAUGUUGUUUUUUCUGAGCAUUUUACCUUCUAGGGAAAUGGAUCUCAUGCUGUUUAUCAGUUUCUGAAAGUUGUUAUUAAUCUCCCCUCAUCCCAAAAUUGAAGAACUUUGCUUAAAUCUUAGAAUCAGAACUUUGGCUCCAGUAAUAAAGACUUUUCAAUAUCU